GACGAACCGUGCGAACGUUGUUCGGAAUCACUGGGCUUAAAGGGCGCGUAGGCGGCGCCGUCAGUCCGGGGUGAAAGCCCCCAGCUCAACUGGGGAAGGGCCUCGGAAACUGCGGCACUGGAGGAAGGUAGGGGAGAAUGGAAUUCCCGGUGUAGCGGUGAAAUGCGUAGAGAUCGGGAGGAACACCAGUGGCGAAGGCGGCUACCUGGACCAGCACUGACACUGAGGCACGAAAGCGUGGGGAGCAAACAGG
RNAcentral lists this ribosomal RNA (253 nucleotides) under uncultured bacterium. Its description in RNAcentral is "partial 16S ribosomal RNA". It matches the Rfam family "Bacterial small subunit ribosomal RNA", at positions 524 to 776 of the family's 1533-position model. The record is from RNAcentral.